This 445-nucleotide ribosomal RNA is filed under the name uncultured bacterium. RNAcentral's name for it is "bacterial SSU rRNA". It matches the Rfam family "Bacterial small subunit ribosomal RNA", at positions 333 to 793 of the family's 1533-position model. The record is from RNAcentral.
CAGCUCCUCACGGGAGGCAGCAGUGGGGAAUCUUGGACAAUGGGGGCAACCCUGAUCCAGCCAUGCCGCGUGAGUGAUGAAGGCCCUAGGGUCGUAAAGCUCUUUCGCCUGUGAAGAUAAAUGACUGUAGCAGGUAAAGAAACCCCGGCUAACUCCGUGCCAGCAGCCGCGGUGAAUACGGAGGGGUUAGCGUUGUUCGGAAUUACUGGGCGUAAAGCGCGCGUAGGCGGACUGGAAAGUUGGGGGUGAAAUCCCAGGGCUCAACCCUGGAACUGCCUCCAAAACUAUCAGUCUAGAGUUCGAGAGAGGUGAGUGGAAUUCCGAGUGUAGAGGUGAAAUUCGUAGAUAUUCGGAGGAACACCAGUGGCGAAGGCGGCUCACUGGCUCGAUACUGACGCUGAGGUGCGAAAGUGUGGGGAGCAAACAGGAUUAGAUACCCUGGUAG